Molecule: non-coding RNA, 85 nt
Organism: Spirochaetes bacterium RBG_16_49_21
Lineage: Bacteria; Pseudomonadati; Spirochaetota
Source: Rfam
GCCCAGGUGGUGGAAUUGGCAGACACAAGGGACUUAAAAUCCCUUGAACGUUACGUUCGUGAGGGUUCAAGUCCCUCCCUGGGCA